UUGGAGGGCAAGUCUGGUGCCAGCAGCCGCGGUAAUUCCAGCUCCAAUAGCGUAUAUUAAAGUUGUUGCAGUUAAAAAGCUCGUAGUUGAACUUCGGGGUUCACCCAUUGGUCAGGCUUAAUUGUCUGUACUGGUGAGAUGAGUCUCUACCUUCUGAGGAACUUUCAUGCCAUUUGUUUGGUGUGAUGGGAAAUCAGGACUGUUACUUUGAAAAAAUUAGAGUGUUUAAAGCAGGCUAACGUCUGAAUACAUUAGCAUGGAAUAAUGAAAUAGGACGGAUUGAUUCUAUUUCGUUGGUUUCUAGGGUCACCGUAAUGAUUAAUAGGGAUAGUUGGGGGCAUUAGUAUUCAAUUGUCAGAGGUGAAAUUCUUGGAUUUAUUGAAGACUAACUACUGCGAAAGCAUUUGCCAAGGAUGUUUUCAUUAAUCAAGAACGAAAGUUAGGGGAUCGAAGACGAUCAGAUACCGUCGUAGUCUUAACCAUAAACUAUGCCGACUAGGGAUCGGACGCAGUUAAUUUUAUAAUGACGCGUUCGGCMCCUUACGGGAAACCAAAG
RNAcentral lists this ribosomal RNA (556 nucleotides) under uncultured Glomus. RNAcentral's name for it is "SSU rRNA". It matches the Rfam family "Eukaryotic small subunit ribosomal RNA", at positions 550 to 1114 of the family's 1831-position model. Lineage: Eukaryota; Fungi; Glomeromycota; Glomeromycetes; Glomerales; Glomeraceae. The record is from RNAcentral.